Molecule: non-coding RNA, 44 nt
Filed under: Schistosoma margrebowiei
Lineage: Eukaryota; Metazoa; Platyhelminthes; Trematoda; Strigeidida; Schistosomatidae
Source: RNAcentral
AUCAGCUGACAAGUCCUAAAUAGGACAAAACGCGUGUCCUCGAU